UGUUUCUUUUUUUCAGAAAUAGUGCAUUUUGACACCAGCUCUUCAUGUGAUAAUCACUUCCAGAAUUCCCCUUAUCAAAGACGCAGAAGGUAACAAGCCUUCCUCCAUGAGGCCUUCUUAGACUGUUCCAGACACUCCGACUUACCCAACUGAUGUCAUCCAUGAGUACAAAACACAUUUACCCACCAUCUGCCUUAACGAAAGGGGCAAAGGCUUUGACACAGUGUCUUCACUUGGGGAGACACCACAAUCCCCUGGUCAUCUUCUACAUUUCUGGCCACCCUUUCUCAGCCUCCUUGGCCAGUUCUUCCUAGAGGAAUGUCCCCACCUUCACAGUUAAGUACCAUCUCUGUGCCAAUGACGUACAAUUUUUUUCUGUUUACACCUUGGGUCUCUUUCCUGAAUUCCAAACCUGUACCUACCACUUACCUAAUUUUGAUGCUUCGUGAUCUGUCUCACUGCACUGAACUGGCUUCAUUACAAGAAGAAUGACUUUGGUUACUGCUCUAUUAUCAGGGCCUAAAAUAAUGUCCAGCACAUGAGAGGAACUUCCACAUCACUGGGGCGGAGGGGGGGCGGUGAAUGAAGAGUGAAAAGUCAUGACUGAUCGGUGUUCUCAUGGAGACUUCACUGUCUCAGCCCAUGAACCUCAAAUUCUCAGAUGACCCCAAAGAGCACAAAGGACAGGCAGCAAGUUGACCCCAAAAUGCUCAUAGUUCAACAGCUAAUAUAGUGAUAGAUGCAGCACACAGAAAGUGUCCUGGAGCAGAUGCCUGGAAUCUAAUGAUCAGAACUGAAUAAUGACUGGGUCACUCAGGAAGGAGGUUUGUCAGUCUGGCACACAGUGAACGAAGAGGAUCAGAGGGCGGCUCUGUCACUGCCCAACCAAGAACCGUCUGGGGCUCAGGUCUGGACACCUUCCCUGCAGUUUCUGACUUGGGAUAUGAGGGUGGCCUCAUUGAGCUGCGGUUCAUAAAGGGAUGCCCUGGAAACUACCAGAAGCAAUGAAGGCACUGGAAACUCAGAUGUUGCCGAGAAAACAGGGCAUGAGUGAAGAAAACCCAUCUCAAGCAAACAAUCCUCGACUUCACCCUGUGAAGACUAAUUGUUAGAGACGGAUGUAAACAAAAGAUUCUCUUUUGAGAGACACACGCAAGAUAUUAAGCGUGACCACUUCCUACGCCGUACUUCUGUCUUGCUAGCUGCUGGGUUUUGCUAAGCCUUGACUUUUAACGAGCACUACUACAAGUGAGCAGUUACAUUUUAAAUGUUGGCUUGUUCAAACCUUGCUGCACAAGUAUUAAUAAGAGGCAAAUUAAAAGGGGUUUUGAGACCAACUACUGUAAGGUAAAUCUAGGUGAUGUGGCCUCUGAUGUGAUCGUUUUUAAGAACAAUCAGCUGGAUACGAGCAUGUGCAAAGCUACACAGACUCCUGUGUGCCUGAUCCGCCUGGCAGCAGUAUGGGAGCUGAGAUGUUGUUUGUGGCUUGGAACUGAGUUUUCUCUUUUGCAAGAAGACACAUCUAAGGUACAUCCUCAUGAUGCCCCCAACCUCACCCCACCCAAAGGCAAGGUAUAAAGCUUACCGUUAUGUGUAGAGCUAGAAACACCCAGAACAGACCUGGUUGUAGGUAGUCUCACUGGUAGGGGCAGAAAUCCCUUAAACUGGACAAAAUCCAGGCUCUAGCUCAGUCCUGAGGCCACGGUUGAAACAUCAAGAAGCCUUAUUUCCUCACCCUAAAGUGAGACAAACUUCUCUACCUCUUCCCUACACAUCCCAUGCAACUAGGUCAUGCCAACCAGGUAAAGGCAGUUCGUUGUCUUCCUAACUCACUUGUUGUUCAAACCAUGCCUGGAUUCCUCUCAUAAUUUCAUUGGUAAAAUUUACAAAAGCAAUGGAAACUCAUACCAAGAGUGAUGUUCGAAAUGUAGUCAUCCAAGGAUACUAUCAGGAUAAUUGAAUAGGGUCAAACAUGACUCAUGACAUUAGAAGGAGACACCUGGAUGUUUCAGGGGUCUUAUUGUGGUAGGAGGGGGGCAAGUGAGGCCCCGCCAUUCCCAAUGCCAACUCAAAAGUACUACCUGAAGUCAUCCUGACUUUCCAGCAAUCUUCAGCGAUUCAGCGGGCACCACACCCUCUGGCAGUGAAUCACCUCGCUAAACUUUCUGACUCAACCAAGGUGGACUUUGAGAUUUAGAACCAUGGGGGAGGGGGUACUUCUGGAAGAGAAAUGAAUCUCCCUGGAGUCACAACUGUCUGGUGUUAGUAAUGACUGACUCCCUUUUGUGCCUUGUUGACUCCUCCAGCUGUCUGCUCCCCUCCCUGCCUCUAGCCAGCUGCUACCCCAAGUCUUGAUGUCACCGGGUAGAGAGGCAAGGUGGGUAUUAAAGGCACCUCUCACAAGAGAUGAAGGAUCCUUACUGGCGGUAAAGUGUCACAUGUUUAGUGACUCUGGGGGACGUCACUACCAGUGACGAAUCCCUUACCGUGUAAGUUUCUUCUCUCCCUAACCUGUAGUCCUACUCCCUGUAGGAACCCUUGUUAACAAUGUCCCAUGUAUUCUUCCAGAAACACCGUGUACAUAUUCUAGUGUAUCUAAUAUGUACAUUCUAGCAUGUGUAUGUGUGCACACAAUCAGGAUCUUAUAAUACUGUUCAAGAUCUUGCCCCCCCCCUUCCCCACUGAAAUGCAAUCUGUAUGUCUUUCUAUAUCAGCAUGUGCAGAUCUGUCUCAUUUUUAAACAACUACCUACUUUUCCAUGAUAGGGAUUUGCCAUAGUUGGUUUAAUCGGGACUCUAUUGAUAUAAUUUAGAUUAUUUCUAAUUUGUGAUAGUAGCAAGUAUCCUUAAACCCACAGGAGCAUAUUUGUAAACAAACAUUUAAAUCAAUACAAUCAGUGGAACUGACAAGUCAGAGGGUAAGUACAAUGAAAAAUGUGAUGGAUAUUGCAAACUUUCUGUAAAAUCAUUGUCUUAAUUUGAAUUCCCUACAAGUGUUCAUGAAAGUGCCAGCUUUUCCAUCGAUUCAACAACUGUGGGUAUUAACAAACUUGAAUAUUCUGCAAACCUGAUAGAUAUGAAAUGGCAGUUGAUUGAUUUGCAUUUCUUUAAUCUUUGUCAAUUUGUAAGCUGGCUGAAUUUUACCACGAGCUGAUUGUUCCUUUUCCUAUUGGUUUACUUCCUAGUGAUGUGAUUAGUACUUAGUAAGUUAAGGACACUGGCCCUAUGUUAAUAUUUUUCCUAGUUUUUCAUUUGUCUUUAAGACAACCCUUAGUGUUGUUCCUUUUUAAAGUAAUUGUUUAGGACCCCAUGCAUCUUAGGUUUUAUGACACACUUAGAAAGACCUUUCCCCAUUUAAAAAUUAUUAUUAUUUCAAGGACGCCUGGGUGGCUCAGUCAGUUAAGCGUCCGACUUUGGCUCAGGUCAUGAUCUCCCAUGAUUCAUCUCGCAUCAGGAUCUGUGCUGACACCUCAGAGCCUGGAGCUUGCUUUGGAUUCUGUGUCUCCCUCUCUCUCUGCCCCUCCCCUGCUUGUGCUCUGUCUCUGUCUCAAAAACAAAUAAGCAUUAAAAAUUUUCUUUAAAGAAAAUGAGUAAAAUUUUAAAAAUUGUUUAUUAUUUCAAAAGUCAAAUUGUUAUAAUUUUUAUUCUUUUCUUUUUGCAUUAAAAUAUGUGUCCCAUUCAGAAUUUAUUUUGAUUUAAAGAACUAGGUUGGUAUCAAUUUUUAUCAAAAUUUCCCCAAAAGCAUAUCCAUGAUACCAAUACCAUUUACUGAAUUCUUUUUCAUUUCAUGAUUUCAAAAGCCACGUUUUAUCAUACUUUUAAUUUCCCAGUGUAUCUGCAUGUAUUUCUAGACUCUCUAUUCUGUCCCACACAUGUAUCAUUCUCUAGUACAAAACCUGCCUUAAGGAUUAGUUUUUAUAACAUUAGUAGUUCCCUCUCAUUACUCUUUUGGGAUGUUUAUUUUUUCCAGAGUAAUUUUACUGUCACUUUGUUGGUCUCUUACACCACUAACCCCAGCUACGUAGGUAUUUUGAUUGGGUGCUCAAUGAAGAAUUCAUCUCCUUUCAGCCAGAGGUGCAUAUUUCCAAUCUAAGAUCUCACCUGUAAUAACUUCUGAUUCGCCAAUAUUAGACGGGCAGGUUAAGGAACAGGGGUAGAGCAAUAUGAAAGCUUGAACAUCCACUGAUUUUAAAACCAAGACCAAAAAGGUAAUUUAAGCUAAAGUACUGAAUAUUUAAGCAAAACCUAAGAGUUCUAGUAAAAGAUCUAAUUUUGGACUUCGGUGAUGUCAGUUAAUAUCAUGAAAGUACACAGAUAACUAAGGGUUCAAAAUACUCUCCAAGGAAAUAAUUUUAACCGCUGUCCUGGAAUCUAUGAACCAAUUCAGCUAAAGCGUUUAUAUUAAUCCUUCCAGCUCUAGGUCCUUUAUGCAAAAAAUCUGAUUAUCAGGCUGGUACAGCAGAUGUAAAAAAAAUGGCAGAAACGGUCCUUUACGUUCUGCAAAAGAAUGAAAACUGUUGAUUCUUUAAAGAGCCACACAAUUUUUUACUGGGUACACUAUUUUCUAUUCUGCAAGGUUAAAGGGUAACUACACAACCACUCACACUGAAGAAGCAGGAGAAUUUUUCACUCAUAUGAGAUCAAAGUGUAUGAACUUACCGUUAGCAUAUCAUCACAUUUCAUAUCCGGUGUGUCACCAUCUUCACUUUUAUUGUAGAAUUUUCGGAAAAAGUUGAAUGCCACAACAGUAUAUAAGUAUACAACAACAGCUAACAAGCCAACAGUUAAUACAAGCUGGAAAGCAAUGUGACACAGAACGCGCAUUAGAAAUGCAAGGCGUAUAUGACUGGCAUGUUCAACAUCAGUGUGGGAGGAGAGAAUUCUAUGAGCACAUACCUGGAUUUAUUGACGAGAAAGUAAUGGGAUCCAUACCUCACACCGUACCUUUCUUACCCCCCUCUGUGGGGAAAUUUAUUUCCAUAUGCUCUUUAUUUUAUCAAGUGGUCAGACUGUUUUAUGCAAAAGUUGGCUACUUAAUUGGUUAAUGAAUGCAUACUACAGCUGGAAGAUGAAUAAACUCUGAUUGACUUUCACAUCCAAAUUGAUCAUAAUAUGUAUGUGCUGAAAAUAAGAAUUUCACCAAGUCGGUGAAAAUAUAUUUCUGGUUAUAUCACAGAAAAUCUAAACACACUAAAAUGCAUUAUUUUUUGUGUCUACUUCUCUAAUUACAAUGAAUCCCUGUGUUCUUGACCGUGGCAGCAUAUAUUAAGUCCUUCAAAAAUAAUUUUACAAUUAUCUGGAGAAAAUAUGUUAUCUGAAUAGAGGGCUUAAUUCACUUCUGUAAACGAAGUACAAUGCCACUAUAAAUUUCUGCACAUCUUAUUAUGAGGACUAUUAAGCUCUCUAUAUUUCUGUAAGUCAAAAAUUGAUAUCUCAAAAAGAAGGAAUAAUCCUCCCAAAAUUUUAGAAGUGAAUUGAAAGCAAGCCAAACCUUUUGUGUGAAAAUACACAAGAGAUUCAGAAUCUCCAGUUCUUUAAAUGUCAGGGGCUCAAUACUAUGAAUGAAUAAACACUUUUUGCUGAUGUCAUAGUCACAUUCAAAAAUUAGAGUGACAUAUAGAACAACAAUGUGUUGAAAUUUAGGAAACUAAAAAUCAUGGUAACUGUUCAUAUGAACUUAACUAUGGACAUAGUUCACGUGUUUGGGGGGACAUGGAUUUAAAAAUAUGCUGAAUUAUAAAAUUCUGGAAAAGAAGGACUCUGUUAAACCAAAUAACGAAUAUAGAAUGUGUUACUCCCAGUAGACAGGUGAUAGAGAAUGAAUCAAUAAAUAUAUGCUUCUAUAAUGAGUUUAUGAAUAAUUAAAGUUUUCACAUUACAACUGGGCUCCAUUAAAACAUAAAUUGAUCAUCUGGAACUAGGCCAGUAUGUAAGUCCUUGGAGUAUGACCUUGUCAAGUAUGAAACAU
Molecule: long non-coding RNA, 5967 nt
Organism: Neofelis nebulosa (Clouded leopard)
Lineage: Eukaryota; Metazoa; Chordata; Mammalia; Carnivora; Felidae
Exons: 4
Source: RefSeq, a predicted model, not a curated record